CUGAAGCUGGCCGUCAAAAGGUGAUAACACUAGCUAACAGGGGCUAAUACCGCAUAACCCUAUUUUCCGCCUGGCAGAACUCUGAAAGGCGCUUUUGCCCCAAUGGUGGAUGGACCCGCGGGGCGUUACCUAUCUGGUGAGGUAACGGCUCUCCAUGGCCUCAAAGGAUAACCGACCUGAGAGGGUGAUCGACCACACUGGGACUGCUACACGGGGCAGACUCCUACAGUGAGGCAGCAAGUGAGGGCGACAUCUCUCUGGAUAAUGGCACGUAAAGUCUGACCGAGCAACGGCCCUGUGAGUGAAGAAGGUUUUCGGAUCGUAAAACUCUGUUGUUAGAGAAGAACAAGGAUGAUAGUAAAAUGUUCAUCCCUUGACGGUAUCUAACCACAAAGCCACGGCUAACUACGUGCCAGCAGCCGCCGGUAAUACUUAGGUGGCAAGCGUUGUCCGGAUUUAUUGGGCGUAAAGCGAGCGCAAGCGGUUUCUUAAGUCUGAUGUGAAAGCCCCCGGCUCAACCGGGGAGGGUCAUUGGAAACUGGAAGACUUGAGUGCACAAGAGGAGAGUGGAAUUCCAUGUGUAACGUUGAAAUGCGUAGAUAUAUGGAGGAACACCAGUGGCGAAGGCGGCUCUCUGGUCUGUAACUGACGCUGAGGCUCCAAAGCGUGUGGACCGAACAGGAUUAGAUACCCUGGAUAGUCCACUCCGUAAACGAUGAGUGCUAAUUGUCGUACGUUUCCGCCCUUCAUGCUGCACCAACGCAUUAGCCCUCCCGCUUGGGAGGGGACGCAUGUUGAAACUCAAAGAAUCGACGGAGGCUCUCACACCUUAAAUCUGAGUUAUUCGACCACCAAAACCUACGGGCUGAAUCUUGACCUCUCAGAAGGAUCCCUGGGGGAAAUUACAUC
Molecule: ribosomal RNA, 909 nt
Filed under: Enterococcus casseliflavus
Lineage: Bacteria; Bacillati; Bacillota; Bacilli; Lactobacillales; Enterococcaceae
Description: bacterial SSU rRNA
Rfam family: Bacterial small subunit ribosomal RNA
Source: RNAcentral